Molecule: transfer RNA, 73 nt
Filed under: Salmo salar (Atlantic salmon)
Lineage: Eukaryota; Metazoa; Chordata; Actinopteri; Salmoniformes; Salmonidae
Rfam family: tRNA
About the family: Transfer RNA (tRNA) molecules are approximately 80 nucleotides in length. Their secondary structure includes four short double-helical elements and three loops (D, anti-codon, and T loops).
Source: Rfam by way of RNAcentral
AUCCCUGUAGCUCAGUUGGUAGAGCAUGGUUUUUGCAACGCCAGAGUUGUGGGUUCGAUUCCCACAGGGGGCA